RNAcentral lists this long non-coding RNA (1252 nucleotides) under Cricetulus griseus (Chinese hamster). RNAcentral's name for it is "lncRNA (ENSCGRG00015029814.1)". The record is from RNAcentral. Lineage: Eukaryota; Metazoa; Chordata; Mammalia; Rodentia; Cricetidae.
GGUGAACCGAUUAAUUCCUUGACAUCGUGUGUGUGCAAUAUAUACUCAUGGCAUUAUGUGCCAUGCAUGUGUAGAGGCCAGAGAUUAAAACCAGGUGUUACUUCUAGCUGGCUAGCCAGUGAACAACAGGGCUCCUCCUGCCACCUCAGCUUCCACCCAGCACACACCACUGCACCUGGAAUUGUACACAGGUGCCGGGGAUUUGAACUUGGGUCCUCAUACUUAUACAGCAAGACUGUACCACUCAGCCAUCUUGCCAGCCUCUCUCGAGAGUUCUCUGUGCAUAAAGGCUGUGAGCCUUAGAUCCCAACGUUUGCCUCAAAACCUACCCUUAGAUAAAAGGAAGGCUGAGAGUUCAAUCGGGUAGCCCAAAGAGGAUAGAUACUCCAGCUAGAAUGUGCUGAUGCCCCUGCAGGGAGGGGCAGGGGCUGCUUGGGAGUGGAGGGUGGUGCCCCAGGAGUGGAGGGUGGCACAUGGAACCCAGCAGGGAAGCACACAAGCUUUAUUGUCAUUCCUGAUUAGAAAAGUGGGGCCUAAGCCCCUGAGUAGGGAGCUAGGGCUUGUCCCAGGUCACUGCUUGUAGAAGAUACCAGCAUGACCUGUAGCCCCCAUGGGCAUGGCUGCCUCUUAAUGGCUGCCAAGUCCAGGCACUGAGGCUGGAGGCAGCAGUUUCCAGGGUGACCUGUGCAGGCUCCAUGGGAAACAGGGACCCUGAUGUAUCAGCACAGGGAGGAGUAUAUCCUGGUCCUUCUGGAAUGUCCUGAGACAGAGGCCCGUGCUGGCCCCUGGUUGAGCCCAAUCAUGGACUUGCUGCAUGUCCUUGGGCAGGCAGUGACCUCUCUCUGGGCAUGGGUUUCUGUGGGGCUGCAGUUCUACUCUUCAUGACCUUGCAUGCAGUUCCCACCUGCCUUGGGCGGCCGCCCACACAGCAGUCACAAUUGGAUAGAAGUCCAUCCCUGACCAUGGUCCAGCGGUGGCCAGCUUGGGCUUGGGUGGUUUAGGGGAGUGCUGCACACAAGGAGAGAGAUGCCUUGAGGCCAUGGCAGUUGCAGGGGUCUGGAUGGCUGGGCUGUGAGUCAGAUAACUUUAAGGACUCUGGAAAGACAAAAAGAGAGGUGUGGGUGUUGCUAGGCCAACUAAUCAUGCCCCAGGCAGGAGGGGCGCUGAGUCCAAGCCAGUGACCAGCUCGUGAACAUCAGGGCUACUGUCUGCAGUGUAAGGAUCUGUCCGUCAUGGACAAGGUGCUGCAGUC